RNAcentral lists this ribosomal RNA (581 nucleotides) under uncultured Staphylococcus sp. Its description in RNAcentral is "SSU rRNA". It matches the Rfam family "Bacterial small subunit ribosomal RNA", at positions 80 to 645 of the family's 1533-position model. Lineage: Bacteria; Bacillati; Bacillota; Bacilli; Caryophanales; Staphylococcaceae. The record is from RNAcentral.
GCUCCUCUGACGUUAGCGGCGGACGGGUGACUACCACGUGGAUAAACCUACCGUAAUAAAGCACUAGGGAAUAACUUCGGGAAACCGGAGCUAAUACGGAUAAUAUAUUGAACCGCAUGGUUCAAUAUGAAAGACGGUUUUGCUGUCCUUAUAUAUGGAUCCCGCCGCAUUACUCAUUGGUCGGUAACGCUUACCAAGCAACUAUGCUACCAACCUGAACGGUGAUCGGCUACCUGGAACUGUACACCGUCGAGACUCCCUACGUGGAGUGCAACAGUACGGAACUCCUUCCGUCACAUGGGCGAAAGCCCUGACGGAGCAACGCCGCGUGAGUGCAUGAAGGUCUUCGGAUCAUAAAACUCUGUUAUUAGGGAAGAACAAAUGUGUAAGUAACUAUGCACGUCUUGACGGUACCUAAUCAGAAAGCCACGGCUAACUACGUGCCAGCAGCCGCGGUAAUACGUAGGUGGCAAGCGUUAUCCGGAAUUAUUGGGCGUAAAGCGCGCGUAGGCGGUUUUUUAAGUCUGAUGUGAAAGCCCACGGCUCAACCGUGGAGGGUCAUUGGAAACUGGAAAACUUGA